This 2436-nucleotide ribosomal RNA is filed under the name Escherichia coli. Its description in RNAcentral is "partial 23S ribosomal RNA". It matches the Rfam family "Bacterial large subunit ribosomal RNA", at positions 408 to 2925 of the family's 2925-position model. Lineage: Bacteria; Pseudomonadati; Pseudomonadota; Gammaproteobacteria; Enterobacterales; Enterobacteriaceae. The record is from RNAcentral.
AUGAGUAGGGCGGGACACGUGGUAUCCUGUCUGAAUAUGGGGGGACCAUCCUCCAAGGCUAAAUACUCCUGACUGACCGAUAGUGAACCAGUACCGUGAGGGAAAGGCGAAAAGAACCCCGGCGAGGGGAGUGAAAAAGAACCUGAAACCGUGUACGUACAAGCAGUGGGAGCCUCUUAAUGGGGUGACUGCGUACCUUUUGUAUAAUGGGUCAGCGACUUAUAUUCUGUAGCAAGGUUAACCGAAUAGGGGAGCCGAAGGGAAACCGAGUCUUAACUGGGCGUUAAGUUGCAGGGUAUAGACCCGAAACCCGGUGAUCUAGCCAUGGGCAGGUUGAAGGUUGGGUAACACUAACUGGAGGACCGAACCGACUAAUGUUGAAAAAUUAGCGGAUGACUUGUGGCUGGGGGUGAAAGGCCAAUCAAACCGGGAGAUAGCUGGUUCUCCCCGAAAGCUAUUUAGGUAGCGCCUCGUGAAUUCAUCUCCGGGGGUAGAGCACUGUUUCGGCAAGGGGGUCAUCCCGACUUACCAACCCGAUGCAAACUGCGAAUACCGGAGAAUGUUAUCACGGGAGACACACGGCGGGUGCUAACGUCCGUCGUGAAGAGGGAAACAACCCAGACCGCCAGCUAAGGUCCCAAAGUCAUGGUUAAGUGGGAAACGAUGUGGGAAGGCCCAGACAGCCAGGAUGUUGGCUUAGAAGCAGCCAUCAUUUAAAGAAAGCGUAAUAGCUCACUGGUCGAGUCGGCCUGCGCGGAAGAUGUAACGGGGCUAAACCAUGCACCGAAGCUGCGGCAGCGACACUAUGUGUUGUUGGGUAGGGGAGCGUUCUGUAAGCCUGUGAAGGUGGCCUGUGAGGGUUGCUGGAGGUAUCAGAAGUGCGAAUGCUGACAUAAGUAACGAUAAAGCGGGUGAAAAGCCCGCUCGCCGGAAGACCAAGGGUUCCUGUCCAACGUUAAUCGGGGCAGGGUGAGUCGACCCCUAAGGCGAGGCCGAAAGGCGUAGUCGAUGGGAAACAGGUUAAUAUUCCUGUACUUGGUGUUACUGCGAAGGGGGGACGGAGAAGGCUAUGUUGGCCGGGCGACGGUUGUCCCGGUUUAAGCGUGUAGGCUGGUUUUCCAGGCAAAUCCGGAAAACCAAGGCUGAGGCGUGAUGACGAGGCACUACGGUGCUGAAGCGACAAAUGCCCUGCUUCCAGGAAAAGCCUCUAAGCAUCAGGUAACAUCAAAUCGUACCCCAAACCGACACAGGUGGUCAGGUAGAGAAUACCAAGGCGCUUGAGAGAACUCGGGUGAAGGAACUAGGCAAAAUGGUGCCGUAACUUCGGGAGAAGGCACGCUGAUAUGUAGGUGAAGCGACUUGCUCGUGGAGCUGAAAUCAGUCGAAGAUACCAGCUGGCUGCAACUGUUUAUUAAAAACACAGCACUGUGCAAACACGAAAGUGGACGUAUACGGUGUGACGCCUGCCCGGUGCCGGAAGGUUAAUUGAUGGGGUUAGCGGUAACGCGAAGCUCUUGAUCGAAGCCCCGGUAAACGGCGGCCGUAACUAUAACGGUCCUAAGGUAGCGAAAUUCCUUGUCGGGUAAGUUCCGACCUGCACGAAUGGCGUAAUGAUGGCCAGGCUGUCUCCACCCGAGACUCAGUGAAAUUGAACUCGCUGUGAAGAUGCAGUGUACCCGCGGCAAGACGGAAAGACCCCGUGAACCUUUACUAUAGCUUGACACUGAACAUUGAGCCUUGAUGUGUAGGAUAGGUGGGAGGCUUUGAAGUGUGGACGCCAGUCUGCAUGGAGCCGACCUUGAAAUACCACCCUUUAAUGUUUGAUGUUCUAACGUUGGCCCGUAAUCCGGGUUGCGGACAGUGUCUGGUGGGUAGUUUGACUGGGGCGGUCUCCUCCUAAAGAGUAACGGAGGAGCACGAAGGUUGGCUAAUCCUGGUCGGACAUCAGGAGGUUAGUGCAAUGGCAUAAGCCAGCUUGACUGCGAGCGUGACGGCGCGAGCAGGUGCGAAAGCAGGUCAUAGUGAUCCGGUGGUUCUGAAUGGAAGGGCCAUCGCUCAACGGAUAAAAGGUACUCCGGGGAUAACAGGCUGAUACCGCCCAAGAGUUCAUAUCGACGGCGGUGUUUGGCACCUCGAUGUCGGCUCAUCACAUCCUGGGGCUGAAGUAGGUCCCAAGGGUAUGGCUGUUCGCCAUUUAAAGUGGUACGCGAGCUGGGUUUAGAACGUCGUGAGACAGUUCGGUCCCUAUCUGCCGUGGGCGCUGGAGAACUGAGGGGGGCUGCUCCUAGUACGAGAGGACCGGAGUGGACGCAUCACUGGUGUUCGGGUUGUCAUGCCAAUGGCACUGCCCGGUAGCUAAAUGCGGAAGAGAUAAGUGCUGAAAGCAUCUAAGCACGAAACUUGCCCCGAGAUGAGUUCUCCCUGAGACUUAGAGUC